UGGGGAAUUUUGGACAAUGGGGGCAACCCUGAUCCAGCAAUGCCGCGUGUGUGAAGAAGGCCUUCGGGUUGUAAAGCACUUUUGUCCGGGAAGAAAUCCCCUGCCCUAAUACGGCGGGGGGAUGACGGUACCGGAAGAAUAAGCACCGGCUAACUACGUGCCAGCAGCCGCGGUAAUACGUAGGGUGCGAGCGUUAAUCGGAAUUACUGGGCGUAAAGCGUGCGCAGGCGGUGAUGUAAGACCGAUGUGAAAUCCCCGGGCUCAACCUGGGAACUGCAUUGGUGACUGCAUUGCUCGAGUAUGGCAGAGGGGGGUGGAAUUCCACGUGUAGCAGUGAAAUGCGUAGAGAUGUGGAGGAACACCGAUGGCGAAGGCAGCCCCCUGGGCCAAUACUGACGCUCAUGCACGAAAGCGUGGGGAGCAAACAGGAUUAGAUACCCUGGUAGUCCACGCCCUAAACGAUGUCAACUGGUUGUCGGGCCUUCAUUGGCUUGGUAACGUAGCUAACGCGUGAAGUUGACCGCCUGGGGAGUACGGUCGCAAGAUUAAAACUCAAUGAAUUGACGGGGUCAUAGCUGUUUCCU
This 584-nucleotide ribosomal RNA is filed under the name uncultured bacterium. RNAcentral describes it as "partial 16S ribosomal RNA". It matches the Rfam family "Bacterial small subunit ribosomal RNA", at positions 355 to 1375 of the family's 1533-position model. The record is from RNAcentral.